Molecule: ribosomal RNA, 497 nt
Filed under: uncultured bacterium
Lineage: Bacteria
Description: partial 16S ribosomal RNA
Rfam family: Bacterial small subunit ribosomal RNA
Source: RNAcentral
GAUGAACGCUGGCGGCGUGCCUAAUACAUGCAAGUCGAGCGAACGGACGAGAAGCUUGCUUUUCUGAUGUUAGCGGCGGACGGGUGAGUAACACGUGGAUAACCUACCUAUAAUACUGGGAUAACUUCGGGAAACCGGAGCUAAUACCGGAUAAUAUUUUGAACCGCAUGGUUCAAAAGUGAAAGACGGUCUUGCUGUCACUUAUAGAUGGAUCCGCGCCGCAUUAGCUAGUUGGUAAGGUAACGGCUUACCAAGGCAACGAUGCAUAGCCGACCUGAGAGGAUGAUCGGCCACACUGGAACUGAGACACGGUCCAGACUCCUACGGGAGGCAGCAGUAGGGAAUCUUCCGCAAUGGGCGAAAGCCUGACGGAGCAACGCCGCGUGAGUGAUGAAGGUCUUCGGAUCGUAAAACUCUGUUAUUAGGGAAGAACAUAUGUGUAAGUAACUGUGCACAUCUUGACGGUACCUAAUCAGAAAGCCACGGCUAACUACGUG